RNAcentral lists this long non-coding RNA (1272 nucleotides) under Pan troglodytes (chimpanzee). Its description in RNAcentral is "long non-coding RNA NONPTRT008562". Lineage: Eukaryota; Metazoa; Chordata; Mammalia; Primates; Hominidae. The record is from RNAcentral.
ACCCGGUUGCUGCUGCCCCUGCCCCUCCCUUUCCUCCUUAUCCCCCAUUACUAUUAUUUCCUCUUUUUUCAACCCCUCCCCCUUUUUACAAUCUCAUUCGUUUCUUGAUUUCUUUUUUUAGGGGGCCCCAUCUGCCUUUCGAGGGGCGCAGCAGGCGCGGCGGGCGCCCCUCACCCUGCGUCACGCACGCAUCUUCUGCAACCCAACAGCUCCGGGCCCCGCUGCACCCCACAGGCCCUUCCCCCUUGGAGAAGACCCUCCUCAGGAGCCCCUGGCCCGCUGCACCCCCUUUUCUUUCCCACUCCGUUCCCCCGGGCCUCAACUGCCCCCUCGCAGCCCCCCAGCUCGCGCCGCGGGCCCUACCCGACCUCCCCACCUUCUGCAUCUGGGCCUUGCAUUCGCUAGCCUCUUCCAGGCCCCUUCUGCUCAGAAUCCCCCUUCCUCCUCCAUAGUCCCACUUUGGGGCACCCAGAUUUAUCACUUUUUAGGAUCUUCCAGCAAAACUCCAAAUCUCUCCUCCCUUCCUUGACAUGCCCCUCCCCCUCCUUUAAGUAACUUCCUUUAGCGCAAAAAAAGAAAAAAAAUUAACCCAGUUUUUUUUUCAUCCGUUCAGGAUCACUUUCCAGCAAAAUUUUUUUCUUCACACCUAGAGUGCCCCUUUUUGGAAUAUCUUCGCUUAGAACAAACCAACUAAUUCCUUCCAGUUUCUCUCUCGUCUAAUAUUUAUGUUUCCAGUCCUCCUCACCUACCCCCAACUUUCCAGCAAAUAUCCUUAUUUUAUCACCAAUUCUGCCCUAAUUAAGUUUCUCCCGGUAAAAUUCUCUAGGUCUCUUCCCACGGGGGAAAAAUAAAGAAAGAAGGAACAAUUAUUUCUUCUUACCAAAAAAACCUUUCCUCCUCACUCAAAUCUCCGCUGUUGAUACUGCUUUCUGCCUUUUUCCAAAAAUUGUUGCUCUUCUCCAUUUUCACAUCUCUGUUCUUGUUUCUUUGGGACCCAAGUCCUGACUGCUUCUUCCUUCCCGCCACCUGCUUUCAGGGCAAAAGAAAUUGGGAGUAUCUUGCAUUUACCACUCAGUGUUCCAGGAGGACAUAUCCAGUGGUCUGCUUGUCACCUGAACCCCCUCCCUGUGGGGCCUAAACUGGGUCCUCCUGUUCCCUGGAGAUUCACUAACUUGCUCUUCUGGAAUUAGUUGCCAUCAAGGGCUCUCUCCUCCCUGUCUCCUUACAUGGUUCUGCUUAUCUGGAGAGUAGCUGUUGGCCAAGACCUGGCAG